UCGGAAUCACUGGGCGUAAAGGGUGCGUAGGCGGCACGGUAAGUCAGAGGGGAAAUCCCGGAGCUCAACUUCGGAAUUGCCUCCGAUACUGCCGUGCUUGAGGACUGGAGAGGAGAUUGGAAUUCACAGUGGAGCAGUGAAAUGCGUAGAUAUUGUGAGGAACACUAGUGGCGAAGGCGAAUCUCUGGACAGUUCCUGACGCUGAGGCACGAAGGCCAGGGGAGCAAACGGG
This 232-nucleotide ribosomal RNA is filed under the name uncultured bacterium. Its description in RNAcentral is "partial 16S ribosomal RNA". It matches the Rfam family "Bacterial small subunit ribosomal RNA", at positions 545 to 776 of the family's 1533-position model. The record is from RNAcentral.